RNAcentral lists this unclassified non-coding RNA (268 nucleotides) under Hevea brasiliensis (rubber tree). Lineage: Eukaryota; Viridiplantae; Streptophyta; Magnoliopsida; Malpighiales; Euphorbiaceae. The record is from RNAcentral.
AUUGUACAUAUAUAAAAUUGUAAAAUUGCAUGGAGUGCCAGUAUCAAUUGUGUCUGACAAAGAUCCUAGGUUCACUUCUAGAUUCUGGGGUAGUCUUCAGAGAGCCCUAGGAACUAGAUUGAACUUCAGUACUGCAUUCCACCCACAGACAGAUGGCCAGUCUGAGAGGGUAAUUCAAAUCUUGGAGGACAUGCUACGGGCUUGUGUGAUUGAGUUUGAGGGUAGUUGGGAUACACACUUGCCUUUGAUUGAGUUUACUUACAACAAC